UGAUCAGCCACACCGGGACUGAGACACGGCCCGGACUCCUACGGGAGGCAGCAGUGGGGAAUAUUGGACAAUGGGGGAAACCCUGAUCCAGCCAUGCCGCGUGUGUGAAGAAGGCCUUUUGGUUGUAAAGCACUUUAAGCAGUGAAGAAGACUCCUCGGUUAAUACCCGUGGACGAUGACAUUAGCUGCAGAAUAAGCACCGG
Molecule: ribosomal RNA, 203 nt
Filed under: uncultured bacterium
Lineage: Bacteria
Description: partial 16S ribosomal RNA
Rfam family: Bacterial small subunit ribosomal RNA
Source: RNAcentral